AUUGAACGCUGGCGGGAGGCCUAACACAUGCAAGUCGAGCGGAGCGGCGGACGGGGGAGUAAUGCCUAGGAAUCUGCCCGUUCGUGGGGGAUAACGUCCAGUACCGGACGCUAAUACCGCAUACUAUCAGAUUAGCCUAGGUCGGUUUAGCUAGUUGGUGGGGUAAAGGCCUACCAAGGCGACGAUCCGUAGCUGGGCUGAGAGGAUGAUCAGUCACACUGGAACUGAGACACGGUCCAGACUCCUACGGGAGGCAGCAGUGGGGAAUAUUGGACAAUGGGCGAAAGCCUGAUCCAGCCAUGCCGCGUGGGUGAAGAAGGCCUUCGGAUUGUAAAGCACUUUUGGUUGGGAAGCGGUACCAACAGAAUAAGCACCGGCUAACUACGUGCCAGCAGCCGCGGUAAUAC
RNAcentral lists this ribosomal RNA (407 nucleotides) under uncultured bacterium. RNAcentral's name for it is "partial 16S ribosomal RNA". It matches the Rfam family "Bacterial small subunit ribosomal RNA", at positions 30 to 526 of the family's 1533-position model. The record is from RNAcentral.